RNAcentral lists this ribosomal RNA (301 nucleotides) under uncultured bacterium. RNAcentral's name for it is "partial 16S ribosomal RNA". It matches the Rfam family "Bacterial small subunit ribosomal RNA", at positions 509 to 807 of the family's 1533-position model. The record is from RNAcentral.
CAGCCGCCACGGGAAUACGUAGGUGGCAAGCGUUGUCCGGAAUUAUUGGGCGUAAAGGGCUCGCAGGCGGUUUCUUAAGUCUGAUGUGAAAGCCCCCGGCUCAACCGGGGAGGGUCAUUGGAAACUGGGAAACUUGAGUGCAGAAGAGGAGAGUGGAAUUCCACGUGUAGCGGUGAAAUGCGUAGAGAUGUGGAGGAACACCAGUGGCGAAGGCGACUCUCUGGUCUGUAACUGACGCUGAGGAGCGAAAGCGUGGGGAGCAAACAGGAUUAGAUACCCCCGUAGUCCCUGUCUCUUAUAC